GAUGUUAGCGGCGGACGGGUGAGUAACACGUGGGUAACCUGCCUGUAAGACUGGGAUAACUCCGGGAAACCGGAGCUAAUACCGGAUAGUUCCUUGAACCGCAUGGUUCAAGGAUGAAAGACGGUUUCGGCUGUCACUUACAGAUGGACCCGCGGCGCAUUAGCUAGUUGGUGGGGUAAUGGCUCACCAAGGCGACGAUGCGUAGCCGACCUGAGAGGGUGAUCGGCCACACUGGGACUGAGACACGGCCCAGACUCCUACGGGAGGCAGCAGUAGGGAAUCUUCCGCAAUGGACGAAAGUCUGACGGAGCAACGCCGCGUGAGUGAUGAAGGUUUUCGGAUCGUAAAGCUCUGUUGUUAGGGAAGAACAAGUGCGAGAGUAACUGCUCGCACCUUGACGGUACCUAACCAGAAAGCCACGGCUAACUACGUGCCAGCAGCCGCGGUAAUACGUAGGUGGCAAGCGUUGUCCGGAAUUAUUGGGCGUAAAGGGCUCGCAGGCGGUUUCUUAAGUCUGAUGUGAAAGCCCCCGGCUCAACCGGGGAGGGUCAUUGGAAACUGGGAAACUUGAGUGCAGAAGAGGAGAGUGGAAUUCCACGUGUAGCGGUGAAAUGCGUAGAGAUGUGGAGGAACACCAGUGGCGAAGGCGACUCUCUGGUCUGUAACUGACGCUGAGGAGCGAAAGCGUGGGGAGCGAACAGGAUUAGAUACCCUGGUAGUCCACGCCGUAAACGAUGAGUGCUAAGUGUUAGGGGGUUUCCGCCCCUUAGUGCUGCAGCUAACGCAUUAAGCACUCCGCCUGGGGAGUACGGUCGCAAGACUGAAACUCAAAGGAAUUGACGGGGGCCCGCACAAGCGGUGGAGCAUGUGGUUUAUUCGAAGCAACGCGAAGAACCUUACCAGGUCUUGACAUCCUCUGACAACCCUAGAGAUAGGGCUUUCCCUUCGGGGACAGAGUGACAGGUGGUGCAUGGUUGUCGUCAGCUCGUGUCGUGAGAUGUUGGGUUAAGUCCCGCAACGAGCGCAACCCUUGAUCUUAGUUGCCAGCAUUUAGUUGGGCACUCUAAGGUGACUGCCGGUGACAAACCGGAGGAAGGUGGGGAUGACGUCAAAUCAUCAUGCCCCUUAUGACCUGGGCUACACACGUGCUACAAUGGACAGAACAAAGGGCUGCGAGACCGCAAGGUUUAGCCAAUCCCAUAAAUCUGUUCUCAGUUCGGAUCGCAGUCUGCAACUCGACUGCGUGAAGCUGGAAUCGCUAGUAAUCGCGGAUCAGC
RNAcentral lists this ribosomal RNA (1277 nucleotides) under Bacillus sp. (in: firmicutes). RNAcentral's name for it is "bacterial SSU rRNA". It matches the Rfam family "Bacterial small subunit ribosomal RNA", at positions 88 to 1353 of the family's 1533-position model. The record is from RNAcentral. Lineage: Bacteria; Bacillati; Bacillota; Bacilli; Caryophanales; Bacillaceae.